GUGUUUUCCAUUUCCUUUCCCAGUAGCUACAUGGUAUGUGUGGUGAUACACGUCAUCAGACUCAGAGUUCAACUUGUUGGCAGUCUCUUGGUGGAAGGAGCAAGUCGUGAUGCAGCCUUGAUGGGGCAUAUAUGGGAACCUCCAGGCCCAGGAGAGCCUCGGUUCAGCCUUUCCCACUGCUGAAGCGGUCGCUGAGCUGGAAGGCCUUUAUAUGAACUCGGGUAAAACAAGUACAUUCACUUCUGUACGCAUAGCAUGAGGGAAUAUCCCACGCUACAGCGAUGUACUUCUACAGUUUUAACUUAGCCGGAGGUAGCAGCCCAGUUGGACCGUGUUCAGGUCCCUUUUGAAGGCCACAACUGUGGCACAGCAGUGGGGGAGAGGGACCGGCGUAGCACAGGAACCAGCACUUUGUCCAUCUACAGCAGCAUCACGGUCACAGCAAAGCUGGUGAUGGGCUUCGGAGUGGCUCCUGCUCAGGUAUUUGCAAAGCACUGGUCUUGGCAUAACUGCGUGGCUGGCAACGGGAUAUUCUAGGUGGGCUAUAGUAUUUAUUUCCAAGCUACUUUUACUAGGCACAUCCACAAUUAACAAAUUCAACCAUCUGCCUUAGCAUGCAAUGAAUCAGCCCCUGAAGUACCACUUUUUCCCCCACUGACUAUAAAGGGAGUAGAAGUAACUGGCUCGGUUUAAUACCUCUACAACACCCAUAACUAAAGUUGAUCAGUGGCAUCCCAGUCUUUGUGGGUAGAGAUCACUCCCAGGCACCCCAAAAAAAGUCUCUGGUCUGCCUGAGGUGUCCCUACACACAGUACGACGAUCCUGCGUGUCAGUGCACACGACGAGCCAGCUAGCGCGGGAGCCCGUGCCGUCUCACUGCAGGCACCGCACCUUUCACGUGGUGGGAGCGGUCCCAAAAGGCCAACAUCUUACAAAGAAAUCCGGCCCUUCCUGCAGCUCAGCCCACGCAGUUAUAUGUAUCUAGCUCAGAGUUAGCGUACCACAGGUUAGGCUCGGUGAGUUCUGUUAAAUAACAAUGAAACUGCAAAAUAUAUGGAAAAUAGCGGGGGGAUGACACAGAGAAGCCAGAAGACACAGCCAGAAACCUGACUGCAAGCUGUUGACCAAGGCAGUCAGCUCAGGUCAGGAGGUAAUGUCUGCUCCUUGCUGUUGGCUAGGUAUCUUAGUGCCUGACUCCUAAAUGCCUGUGUUUAGCAAGGCCCAAAAUGAAAAUAUAAAUCCAAUAUAAAUCCAGCUCAGCUGCCGCCACCCAAGAUGGCAGGGAGCUCCCCACAAGGUGCUCCUGCUGGCCACGUGCAACAGGGCCUGAGCCUCCAGCCCACCGCAAUUGAGCGGAUAAGCGAGAUGUUCCCGCGUAUUCCCAGAUUCCCAUGCUUCCACCUGCUGGCGUUCCGGCACACGUUCUCAAAGCACAUGUCCUGGAUCUGGCCCUGCGCCUACACAACAGCGCUGCCGAAACGCUCGGCCAAUGUUUAACCCCUGCUCCAGGAGAGCAGCCGAAGUGCUUCACGCUCCCUUUUUUUUUUUGCAGGAUAAUAAUAAUAAAUAUUUAAGUUGCCAUCAGAGAAGUAAAACCCUCCACCUCAUUCUCCCCCAGCCCCUACAGAGAAAGCGCCUGUGAGUCAGCACUGGGCUUCCUCUGCUCGAGAAAGCUUGCAGAGGAGGGCAACAGGCUUUAUAAAGACUGCAGGGUGGAUUUUUCUCAGGACCUCCAGAGACACGUCCACCUUGCAUAAAACCGCAGGUUGCAACUACCCUCUUACCACUAGCGAUCUGCGAGCAAGUCACAGGACAUCAAAAUGCAAGGUUUGUCUGUGAGGUCAGCUAGCCUGUCCUCAAAGAAAAGUUAGUUUUAUAUAAAAAGUUAGAAAAAGGAAAGAACCAGUGAUCAAAAUUCAGUUUUCACACUGAAGUAUAUAUACAUUUUAAAAAAAAAAGGUCACUCAGCAAACCACACUGAGGCAUCCAGCGUGCUUUUCUUCCCCAAGCAGUCACCUGAAACUAAAUCAGGCGUGCUGCUCACAGUUCUCAUCCUCCUUUGCCUCCAAUAAAACUCCCCCAGUCAAGUGGAGUUCACUCCAAAGGCCACAAAACCCAAGACCGCUCCUUGCGUGCUCAGAGCUGCAGUUUUCCAGCUAUUCAUGGUAUCCAACACAGAUGCUGCUAGAUGAGGGCUUGCUGGUACCUUCCACGAGCCCUCUCAAAGCA
Non-coding RNA from Phalacrocorax carbo (great cormorant), 2229 nucleotides. The record is from RefSeq and is a predicted model, not a curated record. NCBI's taxonomy places the organism in Eukaryota, Metazoa, Chordata, Aves, Suliformes, Phalacrocoracidae.